Molecule: ribosomal RNA, 1160 nt
Filed under: Erythemis collocata
Lineage: Eukaryota; Metazoa; Arthropoda; Insecta; Odonata; Libellulidae
Description: partial 16S ribosomal RNA
Source: RNAcentral
AUAAUUAGAUUCUUACUGUCUUUAUUAUUCUUGUUAGAGAAAUAUCUUUAUUUUAAGUAUAUUAAAGAAUAAAAUAUUUUUGUUAUAGUAAAUUAGUACUGUGAAGGAAUUAGAUGAAAUAUAAUUAAAACUAAAUUUUUUGAAAGUAUGUUUAAUUUGCAGUACCUUUUGUAUCAGGGUUAAUUAAAAAUUUUAAAUUUAUUUUAUUAUCUCGAUUCUAAAAGAGCUAAUUUUAUAUUAUAGUUAAUGUUUCAUAAUUAUUAUAAAUAUAUUUUAGUAGAGAAAUUCUAUUCGUUUUUAGAGGUAUCUAGUUUUUUAAGAAACAAAUUUAAUUUGCUUUUAUUAAUUAGCUAUUUCAUUUAUUAAAUAGCUAUUUAAUAAAUGAAAUUUUAUAGGGGAUAAGCUCUAUAUAUAUCUAUAAUUUUGAUUAUUAAUCAAUUAAAGUAGGCUUAAAAUUAGCCAUCUUUUGUGAUUGUGUUAUAACUUACUUAUUUUAUUAAUUAAUUUUAUUGAAUUUAGAUUAUUAUUAAAAUGUCUUUACUAACUGUAAAUAUUGAGUAAUAAUGAUUAAAUUAGUAUAUUUACUGUAUAUAAAUUUAUAAUUUGUAUGAUAAGGCAAGUAACUCGGCAAAUAUGAUUCUCGCCUGUUUAACAAAAACAUGGCCUUUUGAAUUUAAUUUAAGGUCUGACCUGCCCAGUGAUUUUCAACGGCCGCGGUAUACUGACCGUGCAAAGGUAGCAUAAUCAUUAGUCUUUUAAUAGAGGGCUGGAAUGAAAGGUUUAACGAGGAAUCGACUGUCUCACCUUAUAUGUAUUAAAACUUAAUUUUUCAGUCAAAAAGCUGAAAUUAUAUUGGAAGACGAGAAGACCCUAUAGAUCUUUAUAUAAUACCAACAUAAUAUUAUUAUAUUAAUGAAUUUUGUUGGUUUUGUAUUUAGUUGGGGUGACAAAAAUAUACAAUUAACUUUUUUAUAAUUUAAACAUUGAUUUAUGAAUAUUAGAUCCAUUAUUAUUGAUCAUUAGAUUAAGUUACCUUAGGGAUAACAGCGUAAUCCUCUUCCAGAGUUCAUAUUUACAAGAGGGCUUGCGACCUCGAUGUUGGAUUAAGAUAAUAGCUAGGUGCAGCCGCUUAGCUUAUAGGUCUGUUCGACCUUUAAACC